Long non-coding RNA from Priapulus caudatus, 144 nucleotides. RefSeq lists it as uncharacterized. The record is from RefSeq and is a predicted model, not a curated record. Lineage: Eukaryota; Metazoa; Priapulida; Priapulimorpha; Priapulimorphida; Priapulidae. The transcript has 3 exons.
UGCAUGUGCGCGCACGCAUGCUGGUGCUGGGAACCCGCGCACUGCAGAUAGCGAUGUGUGCGCCGGUCAUGGUCGAGCUAGAGGGAGAGACUGAUCCACUGCAGAUUGCCAUGAAAGAACUCAAAUCGAGGAAAAUUCCCAUCA